GGGCCUCUAAGUCAACGGGUUAGACGUCCGGCCUUUUAAGCCGGCAGACUGGGUUCGAGUCCCAGGGGGCCCA
Molecule: transfer RNA, 73 nt
Filed under: Solirubrobacterales bacterium
Lineage: Bacteria; Bacillati; Actinomycetota; Thermoleophilia; Solirubrobacterales
Also listed under: 3 other names
Description: tRNA-Lys
Rfam family: tRNA
About the family: Transfer RNA (tRNA) molecules are approximately 80 nucleotides in length. Their secondary structure includes four short double-helical elements and three loops (D, anti-codon, and T loops).
Source: RNAcentral